Molecule: ribosomal RNA, 264 nt
Filed under: uncultured bacterium
Lineage: Bacteria
Description: partial 16S ribosomal RNA
Source: RNAcentral
CUGCUGCCUUCCGUAGGAGUUUGGGCCGUGUCUCAGUCCCAAUGUGGCCGUCCACCCUCUCAGGCCGGCUACUGAUCGCCGCCUUGGUGGGCCGUUACCCCGCCAACUAGCUAAUCAGACGCGGAUCCAUCGUAUACCACCGGAGUUUUUCACACUGCCCCACGCGGAGCCGUGCGCUUAUGCGGUAUUAGCACCUAUUUCUAAGUGUUAUCCCCCGGUAUACGGCAGGUUAUCCACGCGUUACUCACCCGUCCGCCACUAACU